Macadamia integrifolia is the source of this 3691-nucleotide long non-coding RNA. RefSeq lists it as uncharacterized. The record is from RefSeq and is a predicted model, not a curated record. NCBI's taxonomy places the organism in Eukaryota, Viridiplantae, Streptophyta, Magnoliopsida, Proteales, Proteaceae. The transcript has 4 exons.
UCCUCUUCUCCUCUUCUUAUAAUGCUUCUCCUCUUCUCGACUAGGUUACACUGUUUUCUUUUUCUCAUCGUCGCUCAUCACCUACCCUCUUCCCUCCAUGGCUGAUCAAGCUGAAAACGACUCUCAACCUCUGCCAGUCCAACCCAACCUUCCGAUGCUUAGGAUUAGUUUUCAUAAUUUUGCCGAUAAUUUUCAGAAGGCAUCGGACAAUCUUCAGAAUACGACGCAUAGUCUUCAGAUGGCGUUGGAUCAUCUUCAGAUCGCUUCCAACCAGUUAGAUGUGCUGCCGAUUUGUCAGCCAGUGGAUGAAGUAUUGGAAUCAAUCAACCACGUACAUGCGAAUUUGCUGAAUCAGCAAUUCGACUUACAUGGUCAUGUGAUGAAUGUAAUGGACGCUGACCGAACCAUUCUCAUGAAUUAUAUUGAUUUCCAGAUGAAUGCAAUGGACCACAAUUUGAUGGCGAAGAUCAACAACUCUUCAGCACGGGGGGUGACAAUGACUAUCUAGCCACGCAACAAAAAUGGGUAUGCUCCAGAUGUCCCUCCUAUGUCAAAGAAUGACUUCAACAGGAUUGGAGAAGCUGCAAUCGAUAUGCUACUCCAAUUCUACGACUUACCAAUAGGAGAAGAAGAAGUACAUGCAAAGCGUGUCCGACUUGGAGAAUUUAUAGGGUUUCUUAACGUGACUUGAAGAUUAUAGGGUUUUAUAGGUAUUUUUUAGGUAGACUGAAGAUUUAUAGGGGAUACGAGUUUAACUUGUGUUGUCUUUACCAAUUUCUUAUAAUGAUUUCUGAUUAUUAGGAUUCUCUUUUAACUUGUGUUGUGUUUAUUAAUUUCUUGUGUUGUGAGACACCGGUUAUCCCUCUUAUUAGGAUUCUGUUUUAUAUAUUGUUUCUCUAUUUGCUAAAUUCUUAUAUUUAUUAGGAUUCUUGUGUUUUAUAUAUAUUGUUUCUCUUUUAUUUAUUUCUUUUGCCCAUCAAUCCUAAUAAAUAUAAGCAUUUAGUAAAUAGAGAAACAAUAUAUAUAAAACAGAAUCCUAAUAAGAGGGAUAACCGGUGUCUCACGACACAAGAAAUUAAUAAACACAACACAAGUUACAAGAAAAUCCUAAUAAUCAGAAAUCAUUACAAGAAAUUGGUAAAGACAACACAAGUUAAACUCGAAUCUCCCUAUAAAUCUUCAGUCUACCUAAAAAAAACCUAUAAAACCCUAUAAUCUUCAAGUCACCUUAAGAAACCCUAUAAAUUCUCCAAGUCGGACACACUUCGCAUGUACUUCUUCUUCUCCCAAGUAUGACAUCUAACAGAGCUGCCUGGAGGGCUAGGAUUCGAGUUGCAGACUAGUUUCUGCAUAAAUGGAACUGUCUUAUUUCCUUUUUGUUUUUUUUAGAAAUUUCUCUAUUCUGAAAUUAUAUUCCUAGGAUUAACCUUUUCUUUUUUUUUUAGUAACUAUUUCUCUAUUUAUGUGUAAGGCCAUUGGCCAUCUUUUUUAGUCAAUGAAAAUUUAUUGAAUGAAGAAAAAAAAUCCCUCUCUCGCUCUCUCUCUUCCUCGACUUUCUUUCUCUUUUUCUCGCCUUCUCUCUCUGUCUCUCUCUCUCUCUCACCCCCUUUGUUUUGGUUGAUAUUGCUGGUUGCCCCUACUGUUCGUAAGCUACUGACAACUCCUACACACACACAAGAUCCACCUGCAGCAAUCAAGAACACUUCUCUGUAGGCUGGACUUUCUUUAUUAAUUACUGAGGACUGCAUCUCUUUAUUUUGGAGGACCUUGGGUUCUUCUUUUCUCCUCAGAUUUUGGACAGCGUUAAGGUAAGUAAAAUCCCCCCCCCCGCCCCACUUCCAGUGGUUGUUUAUUACCCCUGUUAUCUCCCCCACUAAAACCUGAAAUUAGUCUCUGUUUUCAAGUCAUCUAUUUGCUGUUAUCCUAAAAGAAUUCCCUGCUAUUUUACCUUAUUAAUUGGCUGCUUUUGGAGAACUGCAUGGUUUACUUAUUAUGUUUAGUGUCUUGAUUGAUCCAUGCUAAACCUAACACAUAUUUGCUGCCAUGCUCCCUUCCUCAUAUCCCCAUUUGACGCUUGAGCAGUUUUAAGUGUUUUUUCAUGCUUAGACUAUUAUUGGCGACUGCUGCCCUGUUAAUUAGUUUGUUAUUCUUGCAUGUUAAAUCUGUAUUUUGCUGAGUAACUUUGAACCCAACCCAAUUCAAGACCUAUUGAGUAUCCCUUGUCUAGUGGAUCGACCCCUUGUAGGAAACCUAGUUGUCUAGGCACCCUCCCUAAAUCACAUAUACUUAUCCAAUGGAAUCCUAUUGAUUGUACUGUCUUGGUGUGGGUAAUGCUGAUGCCAUAAUUGAUGCUGAAGUUGAUGGAAAAUCAAUGCAAUGUCCUCCUUUUUCUGUUUCCUUUCUUUUAGCAACUUUUGUCUCACUCUUCAUUGUCCUAUGACAACUAAGAGUGAUCUCAUCAUUUUUCUCUCUGGUCAUAAUUUUCAAGGCGAUAAGGACGGGUUGGGUCCAUCCAAAUAUCAAUCUUGAAAACCUUGAUGAAUGCUUUGGAUAUGAAUGUGCUGGUGGGCUCCAAGAAGGACUGGCUGGACAUAAAGGUGGCAUACUAUCUAGUUCAUUUGGCUUCGGAGGUCACAAUUCCAGCAUUCUAUUUGCUCCCUACAAGUAACUUUGGGAGGUGUAGGUAUGGAGAUUGUUGGCUUAAUGUAUUAUUAUUUGAAUUUGAAUUUUGAAAUUUUAAGGAAGAAGGAAUUUUAGGUGUUGUACUUGGAGGCUUGGAGAGUUUAUGAGCUUAUCUCCCCUAUGAUUGAUAGUUCUUUGCAUGACAAUGGUAGAGGCUACUCACUGGUAACAUUUGUUUUGAAUUCCUAAGAACUAAAAAUGAAAAAGGGUUUGUACAAAAAAUCGAUACUCCAUUCUUUGGAUUGUCUGGUACCCUGAGAAUUGCCUCAGCAGAUGGUCAAAAUUGAUUGGAUUCUGUAACCAGCCCGGAAAAUGCAAUUUUUGGGAUGAUUAUUGAUCCUUUAAUCAAGAGUACUGCUGGGAGAUGUAAAUGAGAUGGUUUACUGAUUGGAUGGGUUGUAUGUGCUAUAUCUGAGAUGCUACACUUGUUUCUUGUGAGGUUAUUGAUUAUUCCAUAAAGCAUCUAUGAAGCCAAUUCUAUGCUCUAAAUGGUACAAUCUGCACCUUUCUAAUCUAUGCAGCACUUGUGAAUUAAGUGUGUUCUAUUAAUUUAUUGCUUAAACCUUUGUCUUUAAAGAUGCCUGGGGAUCAGUUGUCUACCGUUCGUUGGUCUUAUGGAUGACUGAUAAGUUUAUGGUGUCCAGAUCUUCUGCAAUUCUCCAUUUUGCAAUUCUUAUGCAAUGCUACCUGUAGAGUGCGACACCAGGUGCUGCUGACGUGAACAAUCCCGAUGAAGAGAGAGGAGUGUAUGUUACCCUGUACCGGUUUAUGUGCGAUUAAACCAGUCUGAACCAAAAGACAUAUGACCCAACCCAAUCAGGAACUCUUGCAACUGAUCUCUUUCUUACACGCUCCUGCAAUUGAUUUCUCUCUUACACCCCCUUGUUACCAUUCGCGAGCCCUAAGGCUCUCGCUCUCUCUCGGUUAAGCCUAGAAUUUGUGAGCGAUUUCGAAACUUGGCAAAGCCCUCUGGUUCUUUCACCUUCCUGCGCAACUGAUCUCUCUCAGC